Non-coding RNA from Kalaharituber pfeilii, 72 nucleotides. The record is from the annotation of a GenBank genome assembly. NCBI's taxonomy places the organism in Eukaryota, Fungi, Ascomycota, Pezizomycetes, Pezizales, Pezizaceae.
GUCUCUAUAGCUCAGUGGUAGAGCGAAAGAUUGCAGAUCUUUAGGUCACUCGUUCGAUCCGGGUUAGGGACU